This 407-nucleotide ribosomal RNA is filed under the name uncultured bacterium. RNAcentral describes it as "partial 16S ribosomal RNA". It matches the Rfam family "Bacterial small subunit ribosomal RNA", at positions 30 to 526 of the family's 1533-position model. The record is from RNAcentral.
AUUGAACGCUGGCGGCAGGCCUAACACAUGCAAGUCGAGCGGAGCGACGGACGGGUGAGUAAUGCUUGGGAAUCUGCCUAUUCGUGGGGGACAACAUCUCGAAAGGGAUGCUAAUACCGCAUCCUAAUAGAUGCGCCUACGUCGGAUUAGCGAGUUGGUGGGGUAAAGGCCUACCAAGGCGACGAACUGUAGCGGGGCUGAGAGGAUGAUUCGCCAAACUGGGACUGAGACACGGCCCAGACUCCUAAGGGAGGCAGCAGUGGGGAAUAUUGGACAAUGGGGGGAACCCGGAUCCAGCCAUGCCGCGUGUGUGAAGAAGGCCUUAUGGUUGUAAAGCACUUUAAGCGAGGAGGCGUUACUCGCAGAAUAAGCACCGGCUAACUCUGUGCCAGCAGCCGCGGUAAUAC